Molecule: ribosomal RNA, 522 nt
Filed under: uncultured Glomus
Lineage: Eukaryota; Fungi; Glomeromycota; Glomeromycetes; Glomerales; Glomeraceae
Description: SSU rRNA
Rfam family: Eukaryotic small subunit ribosomal RNA
Source: RNAcentral
CCAAUAGCGUAUAUUAAAGUUGUUGCAGUUAAAAAGCUCGUAGUUGAAUUUCGGGGUUAGCAGGUCGGUCGUGCCAUCGGUAUGAACUGGUCUCGCUGAUCCCUCCCUCUUGGCGAACUGUGAUGCCAUUAAUUUGGUGUCGCAGGGAAUCAGGACUGUUACUUUGAAAAAAUUAGAGUGUUUAAAGCAGGCUCACGCUUGAAUACAUUAGCAUGGAAUAAUGAAAUAGGACGUUUGAUCCUAUUUUGUUGGCUUCUAGGAUUGACGUAAUGAUUAAUAGGGAUAGUUGGGGGCAUUAGUAUUCAAUUGUCAGAGGUGAAAUUCUUGGAUUUAUUGAAGACUAACUACUGCGAAAGCAUUUGCCAAGGAUGUUUUCAUUAAUCAAGAACGAAAGUUAGGGGAUCGAAGACGAUCAGAUACCGUCGUAGUCUUAACCAUAAACUAUGCCGACUAGGGAUCGGAUGAUGUUAAUUUUUUAAUGACUCAUUCGGCGCCUUACGGGAACCCAAACACUUUGGUUUC